RNAcentral lists this ribosomal RNA (1438 nucleotides) under uncultured organism. Its description in RNAcentral is "16S ribosomal RNA". It matches the Rfam family "Bacterial small subunit ribosomal RNA". The record is from RNAcentral.
GGAUGAACGCUAGCUACAGGCUUAACACAUGCAAGUCGAGGGGCAGCAUUUCAGUUUGCUUGCAAACUGGAGAUGGCGACCGGCGCACGGGUGAGUAACACGCAUCCAACCUGCCGAUAACUCGGGGAUAGCCUUUCGAAAGAAAGAUUAAUACCCGAUGGUAUAAUCAGACCGCAUGGUCUUGUUAUUAAAGAAUUUCGGUUAUCGAUGGGGAUGCGUUCCAUUAGGCAGUUGGUGAGGUAACGGCUCACCAAACCUUCGAUGGAUAGGGGUUCUGAGAGGAAGGUCCCCCACAUUGGAACUGAGACACGGUCCAAACUCCUACGGGAGGCAGCAGUGAGGAAUAUUGGUCAAUGGGCGCAGGCCUGAACCAGCCAAGUAGCGUGAAGGAUGACUGCCCUAUGGGUUGUAAACUUCUUUUAUAUGGGAAUAAAGUUUUCCACGUGUGGAAUUUUGUAUGUACCAUAUGAAUAAGGAUCGGCUAACUCCGUGCCAGCAGCCGCGGUAAUACGGAGGAUCCGAGCGUUAUCCGGAUUUAUUGGGUUUAAAGGGAGCGUAGGUGGACAGUUAAGUCAGUUGUGAAAGUUUGCGGCUCAACCGUAAAAUUGCAGUUGAUACUGGCUGUCUUGAGUACAGUAGAGGUGGGCGGAAUUCGUGGUGUAGCGGUGAAAUGCUUAGAUAUCACGAAGAACUCCGAUUGCGAAGGCAGCUCACUGGACUGCAACUGACACUGAUGCUCGAAAGUGUGGGUAUCAAACAGGAUUAGAUACCCUGGUAGUCCACACAGUAAACGAUGAAUACUCGCUGUUUGCGAUAUACAGUAAGCGGCCAAGCGAAAGCAUUAAGUAUUCCACCUGGGGAGUACGCCGGCAACGGUGAAACUCAAAGGAAUUGACGGGGGCCCGCACAAGCGGAGGAACAUGUGGUUUAAUUCGAUGAUACGCGAGGAACCUUACCCGGGCUUAAAUUGCAUUUGAAUAUAUUGGAAACAGUAUAGCCGUAAGGCAAAUGUGAAGGUGCUGCAUGGUUGUCGUCAGCUCGUGCCGUGAGGUGUCGGCUUAAGUGCCAUAACGAGCGCAACCCUUAUCUUUAGUUACUAACAGGUCAUGCUGAGGACUCUAGAGAGACUGCCGUCGUAAGAUGUGAGGAAGGUGGGGAUGACGUCAAAUCAGCACGGCCCUUACGUCCGGGGCUACACACGUGUUACAAUGGGGGGUACAGAAGGCAGCUACCUGGUGACAGGAUGCUAAUCCCAAAAGCCUCUCUCAGUUCGGAUCGAAGUCUGCAACCCGACUUCGUGAAGCUGGAUUCGCUAGUAAUCGCGCAUCAGCCAUGGCGCGGUGAAUACGUUCCCGGGCCUUGUACACACCGCCCGUCAAGCCAUGAAAGCCGGGGGUACCUAAAGUACGUAACCGCAAGGAGCGUCCUAGGGUAAAAC